RNAcentral lists this ribosomal RNA (253 nucleotides) under uncultured bacterium. RNAcentral's name for it is "partial 16S ribosomal RNA". It matches the Rfam family "Bacterial small subunit ribosomal RNA", at positions 524 to 776 of the family's 1533-position model. The record is from RNAcentral.
UACGGAGGGCGCAAGCGUUGUUCGGAAUUACUGGGCGUAAAGCGCGCGUAGGCGGCCAGGUAAGUCGGAUGUGAAAGCCCGGGGCCCAACCCCGGAACUGCACCCGAUACUGCCUGGCUGGAGUCCCGGAGAGGAUGGCGGAAUUUCCGGUGUAGAGGUGAAAUUCGUAGAUAUCGGAAGGAACACCAGUGGCGAAGGCGGUCAUCUGGACGGUGACUGACGCUGAGAAGCGAAAGCGUGGGGAGCAAACAGG